RNAcentral lists this ribosomal RNA (484 nucleotides) under uncultured bacterium. Its description in RNAcentral is "partial 16S ribosomal RNA". It matches the Rfam family "Bacterial small subunit ribosomal RNA", at positions 29 to 507 of the family's 1533-position model. The record is from RNAcentral.
AUUGAACGCUGGCGGCAUGCUUUACACAUGCAAGUCGAACGGCAGCGCGGGCUUCGGCCUGGCGGCGAGUGGCGAACGGGUGAGUAAUGCAUCGGAACGUGCCCAGCAGUGGGGGAUAGCCCGGCGAAAGCCGGAUUAAUACCGCAUACGACCUGAGGGUGAAAGAGGGGGACCGAAAGGCCUCGCGCUAUUGGAGCGGCCGAUGUCGGAUUAGCUAGUUGGUGGGGUAAAGGCUUACCAAGGCGACGAUCCGUAGCUGGUCUGAGAGGACGACCAGCCACACUGGGACUGAGACACGGCCCAGACUCCUACGGGAGGCAGCAGUGGGGAAUUUUGGACAAUGGGGGCAACCCUGAUCCAGCCAUGCCGCGUGCGGGAAGAAGGCCUUCGGGUUGUAAACCGCUUUUGUUCGGGAAGAAAUCCUCUGGGCUAAUACCCCGGGGGGAUGACGGUACCGGAAGAAUAAGCACCGGCUAACUACGUG